UAGGUCAGGGUAUCGUAUUGUAACAUGGCCAGCGAUUGGCUGAAAAAAAGUGCAGGGAAAACCGUAUGAAUCACUUUAUACAUGAGGUGAUUGGAUGAGAAUGAGGUAUUUUUAAGUGUAAAAACUAAAUUAAAAAGUAACACUAUACUGUUUUCUGAAGAAAAUGAAAUAUUUCAUGAGUCUCUAUGAUAAUUUUGACUUGGAUAUUUGCAUUUAUUAAAAGUGUAUGUCAGUCCUGUGAUCAGCAGAAAAUUUCAAUGAAAUGGGGGGUAAUCCUCUUUGAAGUCAUUUUGCAAAAAAUUUGGUUGGCUACCACUAUAUAACAGGACAAUUUUUAUGUGUCUGGCAUUUCAUUCUGCUAGAAAAAUCACCUCUUUAGCAUGAAAACUCAAUUUUAAGGUAAGAUUAGGGACCAUUUCUUAUAAUGUAAGUCUAUGGAAAUAUCAAUGUGAGUGUCUGACCUAAAGAGAGGGUCAUUUGAACUGUCAUAAUUCUUUGUAGUACUUUGUCUUCAUUGAUUACACCAUGAAAAGCUGAUAUUUUGGAAGAAUGGAUGUAUACAGCCUUUCAAGGUAUGAAAUUUCAUUAUUUCAAUGCAACUGUUGGUGUUUACAGCAGAUAAUGUGUCAAGGGGGUCAAUCUACAAGCAUUGUAUACAUAUGAACAAGUGUAUUAGUGUUACUUAUCAGUUAAUAAUGGUUUAUAUUUUCUUUAAACAGUGAAUUUGAGUGAAAAUCAAUUGGUGAUAUGUUGAUGAUGAAUAAUAUAGACCUUGGUCAUUAAAAAUAUGUUUUCAGAUUUCAAAGAAAUGCUGUACAUUGGCUAUACACAUGCCAGGUUUGAAGACUUCAUUUAUAACUUGACAGGACCUGAUGUAAGCACAUUGGCCACUUUUGAUGGGUGUUGCAGAAUAUCCGGAAUGCGGCACAAUGGCGCUUGUUAGAAAAAUGGGAUAUUCAAAGUUUGAAAUGACUUAAGAGUGAUGAAAAUGUAUCCAUAUAAUUGGUAAUUGUAUUUGCAACUUCAUUUAUUAUUAGAUAUUAGAAUAUUAAACAUAUAAUAUUCCCUUUA
Ruditapes philippinarum (Manila clam) is the source of this 1071-nucleotide long non-coding RNA. RefSeq lists it as uncharacterized. The transcript is spliced from 2 exons. The record is from RefSeq and is a predicted model, not a curated record. NCBI's taxonomy places the organism in Eukaryota, Metazoa, Mollusca, Bivalvia, Venerida, Veneridae.